This 2648-nucleotide long non-coding RNA is filed under the name Calidris pugnax (ruff). RNAcentral's name for it is "lncRNA (ENSCPUG00000018798.1)". The record is from RNAcentral. Lineage: Eukaryota; Metazoa; Chordata; Aves; Charadriiformes; Scolopacidae.
AUGCAAACCAAACCUAUGACAUCGUUCAGCGGUUCAAAGAGCUACAGCACCACCUCAUCAUCCAUCUUGGACACAACUCCUUCAAGCAGAGUUGCCGACCUGUCUCAGCCAAAGGCUUUGCAGCUUUUAGCUGCUGAAUACUCAGAGAGAAAUGAACCAGACUUUUUAGCUGGACAACCUCAGAACUGGAAAUUACAGCAGGGCUCUGCUUCUUCCAGCAUGUCUUUAUUGGCCUGAAGUCAGCCCCUUUCUUCUGGAAAUGAAGAUUCUCCCAGCACCUCUGUGGACCAGCAUUAUUAGCAAGUAUGUACUCUGGACCGCAUUCUUGUCUGAAUAUAAAAUUCCUGAGAACUUUCCUGCAUCUUAGCAAAAAAUGAAGUGGAGAUAUUUAUCAAUAUUUAUUUAUCCAAUUAGCCACCCUCAACAGCCUGUGCCUGGAGCCUUGUCCGCUUUGAUAUGUGCAAAAAACGUUCAAACUUAUUCAUCUUUUGCUUGAACUCUGGCAAGGUUUACAAAGUAGACACAAGCUCGACAAUGAACCUUACUCUGCAGCAAGCUUUCUCCCCAGAACAUCCCCAGUCCCGCAGAAGUUCAGACCUGGGUCUAAGCUGUCCAUCCCUGACACAUGCACCCAUCUUACAGAAGGAUCCUUAGGCAUCCUGUGGGCUCUGCUCUGCCUUAAGCCUCACAUUAACAUCAUCGAGGAGAAAUACAAAUUCAAACUGACACAGACUUGCUUGUCUCUUCCUUUGUGUUUAAACACAGAUGGUUGCUUUUGUUGUGCCGCCGCAUUUCAACCGAUGCAAGCAGCAAAGUACUUCACUGGAAUAUAUAUCUCUCCUUCAAACAUUCAGGGUUUUUUUGUAGGUGAAGUAUCAUUCUCAAGAAUAUAUACAGUGUUUUCAUGCAUCUUGAUCUAAUCCAUUAGUCCUUAUAAUUUAUUGUUAACUGCUUGGAUGUAGGAGCCAUGACAGCUUUGAGUAAAGCAUUUAAGCAGGCAUCUGCUUUGUAUAAAUUAUAGGAACCUUGGUCACACAAGUUUUCAGAGAGAAACAAAGGUCUUUUACCAACAUCUGUAGCUUUUUGGGAUAGUGAAUUAUUUUUUUAUCGUAAGAAGCUUUGGGUCUUGGAAACCACAACAGAGCAAAUCUAUGAACUACCUGCAGACUUGUUAUUUACAUUUGUAUUUGGUAUUGUACUAAUGGCUCCAUUUGCUGCAGACUUGCAGUACUUGCAGACUUGCAGACUUGCAAGUACCUGCAGACUUGUUAUUUAUAUUUGUAUUUGGUAUUGUACUAAUGGCUCCAAGGCAGGAGGAACACGAUUGACGUGGGGGUUGGGAGCUGAAAAACACUUGGUUAGUCUCAAAUCAGCUCCUUGGAGGCUAAAGCCCUGAUUAACUAUAACUGGAGUGGAUUGUCUUAAUCUGACUGCUGUAGUAUUUUACGUCUAGCCAUUCAGGCUUAUUUCUGUAAAUACUUAGAUAAGCUUGAAUCAAUUACUUCAAUGUCUCCCUUUGUCUCCUACCAUCAGAAAUGGCAUGGUGUCAUGAUAUAAGUAGGCAGAGCAGCAGGAUCAGAGAAAUGAUACCUUGUGCACACAGAGCAAGGAAGAUGUGUGUUAACAGGAGAGAAAGACAUCGCCUCAGAAGAUGACUUCUCAUAUGCAAAGAAGGAUGUUCCACAUUCUUGCUCAGUAUGUCUCAAAAAGAAAACAUUACAACCAAUAAGAGUUGAAAAAUCAAUACUAUUCUGAAUAUUAGACUGUCCCAUAGGCCUUUCUCUCCUUUUUUUAUCACCCCUCCUGCCUUUUGACUGACUGAGAGACAUCUGAAAGGACAGCAGGACUUUUGCUGGUGAUAUGCAGUUGACCAAAGGUCUGAUGUGCACAUGCUCUUCUUGCCUUCUCACUUAUGCUGCUUAGAUUCAUUCAGCUCACUCGUGAAGCUUUAUGCAUUACACAUUUCCUGACUAAAACCAAAGAAGUCUGACAGAGCAAACUAAUUGAAACACAGUACUCUGCAUCUCACUUUGGCACCAUCGUUCCACGCCGUAGCCGCACGGUUCAAAGUUAAUAGAGUGCUGUGUCAGAGAUGCCACUCACCCAGGUGAAAUGCAACGCAAUGGUGGACAAGCCUGGUGAGUGGUUUUCCUCUUCAAAAGUAGCUUGGAGACACGACUUCACUCUCUUUAGCACCUCUGGAUGCACAAAGGCAUAGCUCUGAAGGUGAUGGGAUCAUAUCAAAUCUAUCCAAGUGCAGAGCUUUGGUUUAAUAUUUUUUUUUUUAUAUAUCAAUGGCUGGUCUCAGCUCUAAUUAACCUACUCCCCUAUCAGUCCAUUCCCUCCCCACAUGCCGUCUUUUCCCCUUCCUCUCUGUGAUCUCCAUUUCACUGCAGAGAUGGCCUGGCAAAGAGACAUUAUUCUAUUUAGAAGCUGAGCACCUCACUAGGGGUGACAGGCCUGUUUUUAGGUCAUUUAUCUAAUUGCUCUUUGCAGAUAAGAAUUAAUUAGCCCGAUUAUUUUUCUUAGUUUUUGGAUGGGUUCCCCACCUGGAGAGAAGAAAUUCCUCUAUGUCAGUGAUUAAUUGCUGAGCCAGAAGCUUUCUGCCUUGCAUUUGUAAUAAAUGCCGACUGGUUCUUUAGGUCGCA